ACAGUUAUCUAUAUUUCUAUUAUAUAGAUAGACAGACAGACAGAAAGAUUUUUACUGCUCCUUCUAUAGGAAAUGUUUCCCGAUAAAGCAAGUCACUGCUGGACUCAUGACUGCUCUUUGCAGGGUUAGCUUGGAAGUACUACAUGGAAGCCAACAUAGAAAGACCGGACCAAGGGGUAAAGGUCGGCGGGCCCCCAUUCCCCCAGCCACAUGUCCAGCUACAGUGCCCAGUUCUUGUUUUGUGCUGCGUCUGAUCACCUGACCACACAGUUCAAGCAAGCACUGGAAACCUGGCGUGGUUUGACUCUGUUGUGCCAAAUCACUGGGUCAGACCUAGUUGCUAGAGCCCAGAAGAUCUCCCAUCUUCAGUCAGGCUCUCCCGGACAGCAGUUCUUCAAUAAGAUGCCAGUUUGCCUCAUCUAAUCAAAUCUGCCUUUAAACCGUACCCUGCUAACCGCUGGCUGUGACCCAUGUGUUUAAGAGAAGAGGCAAUGCUCAGCCUCCGCUGGGCGGGGAGCACAGGGUUUUCAUCACUAAGUCUCUCUGGAGGAAGGCUGAGCGCCACCACCCAGGGAAACAGGAAACACACAUGAGCCUGCCUACAGAGGUUUGUCUCCAGGAUUUUCAGGUCUGGGAUGUUUUAAUGACAGCAUGAACCAACAGGAACCCCAGCAAGUGACAGGGGCUCCCUGGAUUCCUGAUGUGCCUUAUUCCAUUUAGAACAGCACCCCCUCCCACGCAACACGCAGUUCCUGUCUCUCUGGCUCCAUUAUCCUAAUGUUCUGCAUGAGGAAGUGAAGCAGAAUCAGGGCCAACUUUGAAUGGAUUAGGUAUGACCGUCAGCGGAGGGACUCAAGGCCCAGGUCACAGUGCUGAGGAUCUCACUUAGCCCAGGCUGUCUCCAACUUGUCGUCUAGCCGUGCUAGCCUUGCGCUCCCGAUCGAUCCUCCUGCUCCACUCCUGAGUGCUGGGAUUGCAGACAUAGACCUACUACCAGGGCUAGCUCUGUGCUGAUCUCUGCUGAGAACCUAAGAAGUUUAUAUCCUUGUUUCAAUACUCUAUAAUAGAGAAUCCAAUUAGGUGCCAUGAUCUGAUACCUAGCAGGGAGAUGACACGUGUUGGGCAGUAAAUAUUUAGAAUCAAUUAAUCAAUGCCAUUCUAAAUAGAGUAGUUUUAAUAUUUUGUCAAUGGUUUGCUCUUUUUGAGGUGGGGUCUCAUUACAUAGUUCAGGUUGGUCUGUGAUUUUCUGUGUAGUCUCAAACUUGUAGGCAUCCUGCUUCAGUAGUUUGAGUGUUGCGAUUAAAAGUGUUAAUUGUGAUUAAUUAACACUGUGAUUGGCUCGAUUUUAAUUUUGACGAAAUUCUGUUUAUGGUUUCUCUUUUCAGUGUGGAAUCUAAAUAACAGUGGCAAACCCAUGGUAGAGAGAUUUCCUCCUGUGUUUUCUUUCAGAAGUUUUAUACUGGUAGCUUUUACUUUUAGGUCUGUUAGUCAUUUAAUUGCCCUUUUUUGAAAAUUAUUUAUUGUUAUUAUUUUAAGUUAUAUGUUUGGAGGGCUAGGAAGAUGCACCCGAGUUCAGGUGCCUGUACUAUGGAGACCAGAAGAGAACAUCAGUAACCUACCAGACAUGGGUGCUGGGCAUUAAAGCAAUAAGAACUCUUAACUACUGAGCCAUAUCUCCUGUUCUAGCAGGAAGAUUCUAGAAACAUCAGUCUAUGCUUUGCAGAUGCAUUGAAAACAGCUUAAGAGUGUAGUAUAAUGUCUUCUAUCUUGAAACAUGAUCUUUAAGUUGUUUACCCAGAAAAAAUCUCUGACAUCGCCAUCUUUAUCCUUUGACUCAUCCUCCUGAGAGUCCUCCAUUCUCUCCCCAAGUCCACCUCUUAAAAUAAAACAAAAACAAAAAAACCACUCUGGCUAGAAUGCCGUUGUUUCAGAAUAACUCUGUCCAGAAAAAUAGAUAUUGCUCAUCACUUUCCACUCUUCCCCACCCUGACCGGAUAACAACCCAAACCGCCAUUCCCAAAUGCAACCCCUACACUGUUUACAACAUAAUCUUCAGCCUAGAACUCCAGGAGCAGACCACAACAGGAAGCUGAGGCCUGUGCUAGAUGCGCAAUUACAGAGGUCGAGGAUAUUUGGGCUAAAGUCUAGCUGCUCUAACCUCACCCUGAUUGCCCUGCACGCAGGACGCUGGGUGUAGGAACUUCUGUAGGAAGUUGGGGGAGAAGGAUGCUAUCUUGUGCUUUGAAUUUAUGAAGCCCCUGAAGACUUGAAUUCAGAGCUCUUUCUGACUGUUCACAAGUUCCAGAUGUUAUGGCCUGGUCCUUCCCCCUUUGGCAUUCUGGGAAGGACCAAAGGAAGCAGAGAGAGGAAGGACUUUGUUCCAUCUUGAUUAGAUGUGGAGGAGAAUGUUUGCUUCCUGUGGUUAGGCUCCUGUCCUUCACUGUUUGUGUCACAUUUUGUUUGUUUGUGGCUCACAAUUGUCCUGGCAGGAAAGUCUCCCCUGCACCCCACCGUCCUUUCUUAACCCAGUCUGUUCUGUGAAUCUAACCUACUCAGGCGUUUUCUGUGAUUCUCUCUCUCACCUUAAAACAGUGACAUAUUAACACACACACACACACACACACACAGAGAGAGAGAGAGAGAGAGAGAGAGAGAGAGAGAGAGAGAGCACAGCAGCAGCAGCAGCAGCAGCAGCAGCAGCUAGGAAAGUUGCUGGAGUUCACAAUUAAGACACAACCGGCAUGCAUUAGCCGCUUUCCACCCUGGUGGAGGUAUCGGGGAGGCAGAGAGGGAAUCAACAGCUUAUUAGAGUGCAGUUAGAGACGCAUGCCACCCAAGGCGGGAACAUGAAAGCGCGACACUUAACCUAGCCAGGCUGCAACAAUGUGGAGUAGGGAGAUAGGAAAGAUUCUAAGGAGGAAGAAAUAGUUCCCACUGAGUUCUGAGACGAUCAAAACUCAGUAUAGGAUGUCAGGGGGGUGGUCUCAGAGAUCCGCAAGGCAUGAGAGAGCUCAGGAAACCCAGGGAAGAACAGAUGGCUCCAUGGACCGCAGUCCACUCUGGGCUAGUUUGAAGUUAGUUGUUCCUUGUAACCGAGUUUGUCUAGUUUUGUUCCGAGCAGAAGCUGGCUGCUACAACGGUGAAAGGUGUGUCCAUACAAUGUGCAAGUGUUCUGAUUUUCCCAUGCCAGUUAGCCUUUUAGUUCAUUCAGGCGAAGUCAUUCAGAUAGGCAGCCCCAUUCUCCUGAUAAUGUUUCACGGUUUCUACAGCAGUCACAGGGAUGACGAUGUUUAUAUGCACUGCCCAGUUUUAUGCCAACUUGACACAAACUAUAGUCACCUGAGAUAACUGAGAAAAUGCCUCCAUAAGAUUGGGCUGUAUACAAGCCUGUAAGGCAUUUUCUUAAGUCAGUUGUUGAUAGGCAAGGUGUCGAUCCCUGGGCUAGUGGCUCUGGGGUCUAAAGAAAGCAGGCCGAGCAAGUCACGAGGAGCACUUCUCCAUGGCUUCUGCAUCGGCUCCUGCCUCCAGGUUCCUGCCCUGCUUGACUUCCUGUCCUGACUUCCUCCAGCAAUGAACAGUGCUCUGGAAGUGUGAGCCUCAUAACCCUUUCCUCCCCAGGCUGCUUUUAGUUAUGUGUUUCAUAACAGUGACAGUCGCGCUGAUGAGUCCGCAGUGCAGAGAAGGAACGCGCCUAAGAUGCUUUCUGGCGGAGGUCUGACAACGUGGUCCUCUAUGCUGGGCUAGCUUUCGAGUGAUUUGCCUGAGACUCGCUCCCUGGAGGACUGCUCUAAAACUGGGGUUAAACAGAAUGUGAUGGAGACGCAGCAAGAGAUUUGGCAAACCUUUGAAAGCCAAAGUGCGAAGUUUGAGCUUGCUUCCCUGGGCAGAGUCCAAGAGAUUACGCGCCUGGUGGACUCCAUACAAUAGAGUGAGCCAUGCAGAUGGAGAUUUGACUGUUCUGGAUUGCUUUUACUGUACACUUUGGUCUUCCCUACUGAGUUAUUCAUGCUGUGGGAGAAAUCCUACCUAGCAUUGCCCGUGUUCCUCUACACAUGUUCCAGCACAUAGGAAGUUAUCAGAGACAAGGUGGUUGGUAGUUUUUACUGGGAUAAUAAGGGGGAGGUACAGACCUUUAGAAAAAGACUUUGUGAAAACCUUACAGAAUCAGGUCUCUAAGCAAAGAUUUGGAGUUUUCAUUUUAAUAUAGAGUCUGAGGUGGUUUGUAGUUGUAGUAAACGGCUAUUUCUCUUGAUUUUCCCUUUUCUCCCACUAGGAGGCAGCACUACUCCCGUUGCAUUCAAGGACGGGGUUCCUUAAACAAAUACAUAAUACAUAUAAAGUAUAUUUCCCCACAGUGUGAACACAUACCUUAAUCUCUGACCUUAGUUGAUUAGGAAUAUGUUAUUUGGGGUCUUUUUGCUUAAAGCUCAAGGCAGAAGGUUCUGGAACACAUAGUUCUAACCUCUAAUUAUCUCCCGAGGAAUGGUUUCAUGUACCAAUGAAAACAGAAGCAUCUUCAUGGAGGAUUGACUUCACAAGCAGCAACUGUUGAUUUCAAAGAUUAUAAAAUUCUACAAUAGAGAAGAAGUGUGUGUGUGGGAGGGGUUGGGGGUUGGGUUUUUCAUUGACUUUUAUGCAACUUUGGG
This is a non-coding RNA of Myodes glareolus (Bank vole), 4646 nucleotides long. The record is from RefSeq and is a predicted model, not a curated record. Lineage: Eukaryota; Metazoa; Chordata; Mammalia; Rodentia; Cricetidae.